UCUAACCCAUAAAAAAAAUUGGAUUAUGGAUGCUAUUGGUCGCGAAAGCCUACGUGUUAAACUCGGUUUCGUUGAGUGACUUUUCUCGUUCACAGAGUCGGUGGCCUCACGGAUAGAAGUGGACCGUUUCAAGCAUCACUCCACCGUGGAAGAAUCGACUCACUACUCGCUUAUACGUUGUACGCAUCAACUCAUUUCGUACCGGACGUAGCCAACCGUGCUAAUCGGAGUGCCACCCCGACCCGCUGCCAUUCGCACGCCGUGGAUGCCCAUCGCAGCUUCCUACCCUGGGCGAUCUCAGUCGCCUUUGGCUGGCAACCCCUGAGGCCAGCUCUGCUUUCCACAUGCGAAGGCAUCCUCCCCGCCUGCCCGUGGGCUCGCGGCCAAAACCCGCGGAGAGAUGAACAAAGGAAUUAUCUCCGCCACGUGCCACUGGGGGACGCCUCGACGUGGCGAAGAACGGUCGCAAUCAAGACACGCAUUGAUACGCACGUAAAUAAAUAAAUAAAAGGGCGCACACGUCUUGCGUAAACAGCUCGCGAUGGCGGUGACGAUGGAACGAGCACGACGCUUGGCGAUUUGCGUCGAGAGACACAACGAGGAGCAGAGUCGAUUCGACAACACGUGACAUCACAGGGAUGCUCGGCCCACUCACAUCGAAGGGUCCUGGAGAUCUGCCAGAACCACUUUAUCGGGAAAAUUGAGGACAAAACUGGAUUUGCGCCGCUGCCCUCGUUUCGCUCCCCGUCUCGCCACUUCUGCAACUUAUUUUGUGAUCCUCGUCCCGCUCUUACCGCGUCCUCCGCAUGUGGACAGCGGCGUGCAAUGCGUGCCUCUCCUCUCGGGCAGCUUUAGACGAUUAAAUGGCCUAAUUUAA
Molecule: long non-coding RNA, 877 nt
Organism: Petromyzon marinus (sea lamprey)
Lineage: Eukaryota; Metazoa; Chordata; Hyperoartia; Petromyzontiformes; Petromyzontidae
Source: RefSeq, a predicted model, not a curated record